Long non-coding RNA from Mastomys coucha (southern multimammate mouse), 333 nucleotides. RefSeq lists it as uncharacterized. The record is from RefSeq and is a predicted model, not a curated record. Lineage: Eukaryota; Metazoa; Chordata; Mammalia; Rodentia; Muridae. The transcript is spliced from 3 exons.
GUGAGCAGGAGGAGCAUCUGCGAUCACAACGCGAAAGCAAUAAAGAAGCUGUCAAUGAAGCCCUGAUGUCCAACUUCUGGACUAUGAGCAGCGAGAAAUAAGUAUUGUGAUCUUUAGUCAUGUUAACAGCACCAUCCAUCCCCAUUUGGUACUUGGAGCCUGGCAGUCGCUCUGUGAAUACUGUCCAUGAAGGAAAAAAGUCACCUGUGCUGGACAAACUGAGAAGAUGUUCUGAGGGGAGCCGGGUUAAUUUAAUGACUAUUGCCAUUUCAAGCUCCAGAAAUCUCUUCAUUUCAGCCUCCAAGGAAAAGCCAUGCCCUGAUAAAAAACCAA